RNAcentral lists this ribosomal RNA (484 nucleotides) under uncultured bacterium. Its description in RNAcentral is "bacterial SSU rRNA". It matches the Rfam family "Bacterial small subunit ribosomal RNA", at positions 28 to 478 of the family's 1533-position model. The record is from RNAcentral.
GACGAAUGCUGGCGGCGUGCUUAACACAUGCAAGUCGAACGAAAAGACGGAAAGAGCUUGCUCUUUUCAGAAUUGAGUGGCAAACGGGUGAGUAACACGUAAACAACCUGCCUUCAGGAUGGGGACAACAGACGGAAACGACUGCUAAUACCGAAUAAGUUCCAAGGGCCGCAUGGCCCAUGGAAGAAAAGGUGGCCUCUACCUGUAAGCUAUCGCCUGAAGAGGGGUUUGCGUCUGAUUAGCUGGUUGGAGGGGUAACGGCCCACCAAGGCGACGAUCAGUAGCCGGUCUGAGAGGAUGAACGGCCACACUGGAACUGAGACACGGUCCAGACUCCUACGGGAGGCAGCAGUGGGGAAUCUUCCGCAAUGGGCGAAAGCCUGACGGAGCAACGCCGCGUGAGUGAUGACGGCCUUCGGGUUGUAAAACUCUGUGAUCCGGGACGAAAAGGCAGAGUGCGAAGAACAAACUGCAUUGACGGUAC